AUUGAUUUUAUGCUUGCAUAAAUGAUUUUUGGAUUCGGAGCGAGUGGCGAACUGGUGAGUAACACGUGGGUAACCUGCCCCGAAGCGGGGGAUAACAUUUGGAAACAAGUGCUAAUACCGCAUAAUUAGUUGGAACCGCAUGGUUCCAACUUGAAAGAUGGCUCUGCUAUCACUUUGGGAUGGACCCGCGCCGUAUUAGUUAGUUGGUGAGAUAAAAGCCCACCAAGACGAUGAUACGUAGCCGACCUGAGAGGGUAAUCGGCCACAUUGGGACUGAGACACGGCCCAGACUCCUACGGGAGGCAGCAGUAGGGAAUCUUCCACAAUGGACGAAAGUCUGAUGGAGCAACGCCGCGUGAGUGAUGAAGGUUUUCGGACCGUAAAACUCUGUUGUUAAAGAAGAACAAGUGUUAGAGUAACUGUUAACACUUUGACGGUAUUUAACCAGAGAGCCACGGCUAACUACGUGCCAGCAGCCGCGGUAAUACGUAGGUGGCAAGCGUUGUCCGGAUUUAUUGGGCGUAAAGCGAGCGCAGGCGGUUUUGUAAGUCUGCUGUGAAAGCCCUCAGCUCAACUGAGGAAGUGCAGUGGAAACUACAAAACUUGAGUACAGAAGAGGAAAGUGGAACUCCAUGUGUAGCGGUGAAAUGCGUAGAUAUAUGGAAGAACACCAGUGGCGAAGGCGGCUUUCUGGUCUGUUACUGACGCUGAGGCUCGAAAGCAUGGGUAGCGAACAGGAUUAGAUACCCUGGUAGUCCAUGCCGUAAACGAUGAAUACUAGGUGUUGGAGGGUUUCCGCCCUUCAGUGCCGCAGCUAACGCAUUAAGUAUUCCGCCUGGGGAGUACGACCGCAAGGUUGAAACUCAAAGGAAUUGACGGGGGCCCGCACAAGUGGUGGAGCAUGUGGUUUAAUUCGAUGCUACGCGAAGAACCUUACCAGCUCUUGACAUCUUCUGCCAACCCAAGAGAUUGGGCGUUCCCUUCGGGGACAGAAUGACAGGUGGUGCAUGGUUGUCGUCAGCUCGUGUCGUGAGAUGUUGGGUUAAGUCCCGCAACGAGCGCAACCCUUAUUAUUAGUUGCCAGCAUUUAGUUGGGCACUCUAGUGAGACUGCCGGUGAUAAA
This 1123-nucleotide ribosomal RNA is filed under the name uncultured bacterium. RNAcentral's name for it is "bacterial SSU rRNA". It matches the Rfam family "Bacterial small subunit ribosomal RNA", at positions 47 to 1162 of the family's 1533-position model. The record is from RNAcentral.